UGGACAGCCUUCUGAAAGGAAGAUUAAUACAAGAUGGCAUCAUGAGUUCACAUGUUCACAUGAUUAAAGGUAUUCCGGUAGACGAUGGGGAUGCGUUCCAUUAGAUAGUAGGCGGGGUAACGGCCCACCUAGUCUUCGAUGGAUAGGGGUUCUGAGAGGAAGGUCCCCCACAUUGGAACUGAGACACGGUCCAAACUCCUACGGGAGGCAGCAGUGAGGAAUAUUGGUCAAUGGGCGAGAGCCUGAACCAGCCAAGUAGCGUGAAGGAUGACUGCCCUAUGGGUUGUAAACUUCUUUUAUAAAGGAAUAAAGUCGGGUAUGCAUACCCGUUUGCAUGUACUUUAUGAAUAAGGAUCGGCUAACUCCGUGCCAGCAGCCGCGGUAAUACGGAGGAUCCGAGCGUUAUCCGGAUUUAUUGGGUUUAAAGGGAGCGUAGAUGGAUGUUUAAGUCAGUUGUGAAAGUUUGCGGCUCAACCGUAAAAUUGCAGUUGAUACUGGAUAUCUUGAGUGCAGUUGAGGCAGGCGGAAUUCGUGGUGUAGCGGUGAAAUGCUUAGAUAUCACGAGGAACUCCGAUUGCGAAGGCAGCCUGCUAAGCUGCAACUGACAUUGAGGCUCGAAAGUGUGGGUAUCAAACAGGAUUAGAUACCCUGGUAGUCCACACGGUAAACGAUGAAUACUCGCUGUUUGCGAUAUACUGCAAGCGGCCAAGCGAAAGCGUUAAGUAUUCCACCUGGGGAGUAC
RNAcentral lists this ribosomal RNA (742 nucleotides) under uncultured bacterium. RNAcentral's name for it is "bacterial SSU rRNA". It matches the Rfam family "Bacterial small subunit ribosomal RNA", at positions 140 to 883 of the family's 1533-position model. The record is from RNAcentral.